UAUCAAAUGAACACUAAUUAGUUGAUUUGGAUAGAGUACUAGGAUUUAAUCAUCAGUGUUUUGCUUCACAGGAUGACAUAUGAGAAUGAAUUGAAUGACCAGACGAUCGUUCCAUCUCCUCAUUCAUCUCACCUCAUCAAGCAAUGUUCUAUUCAAAAUGAAAAGCAGAAAGACAAAAUGAGCAAAUUAUCAGCAAACAAUGUCAGGUGCUCUUCGGAACGACAAUUUUCCACUCAGCGGAACAUUGUCACUCAAGAUGCAGAUCAUGGUGAAGUUUCAUCAUCUACUAGCAACAGUGAAAAAAGCACUUCAAAGAAUCCAGAAGCCCAUACCCCAGCCACUCUUCAAUUUCUUCAAGAGGCACUGGCCUCUGAGGGACUUUGUUUCCUAGCUAAAGAUGACUCUUUUCUGAAGCUGACAAGAGAUGAGAUGGUUGCAGCCUUCCAAGCAGAAAUGACAGAUGUGGAAGACACAGCUGCCAUGCUGUUGGAGAGACGGAAAAGCUCAACUUCAUCUUUGUAAAGGGCCUAUAACAUGGCCGUUCCACUGUUUUCUUGGCAGUAUUGCUCUAUAGUGGUAGCCACUUUUGUGUUUUUGGAUGAUUACCAUGAAAGCGCUACACAAUCUGUUCAUGGUGGCCUGAUUGAUUUCCAGCCUGAUAGGCAAGCAGAAGAGAUGGCAGAUGGAAAAGGGGGAGGGGUUUUUUUUGGCUGCCUUAGAAGAGAUUUUAGGAAUGGAUUCCUACAGAGAAUUGCACAGGUGAAAAGAGAAUUUCUUGCUCGUCCAGGUCUUUAUACAUUCGUAACAUCUAUAGCAUGUAACUUAGAUGGAUUAUGACAUAGUUCCAAAGUAUUGUAGCAUUACUUCCCUUUGACAGUUUGGCGAGGAUUCUGAACAAUGCCCUUAAAUUAUAUUGGAGAAUCUGAAGAAAAAGUAAAAAUGAUUAAAAACUAACACUUUUAAUAAAUAGAAAGUCCCCAAAUGGUUUUCUUUAUACAUUUGAAUUUUCAUUUAUAUAUUUUAAACCUCAAAAGAUUUGAACGCAGUUUACACAUAAAAAUUAUAAAUGGCUGUUACAAACAGUGAAAUUUAGAUAACUGAUCAGUUUGGGUGUGUGUUUUUUUUUUUAGAAAAAUACAGACAUUCAUUCAUACAAUCCAAUAGUGGGGAAGAAGAUUUUUACUGCUUAUUUAUAUUAAAUCUCCAAGCUGUUAUAAAGCCAUUAACAAAAUAUACAGUAUUUUUCCCAGUACAAGGUACUUCAAUAGUGAACCAUUUGUCUCAACAUUUAAAUUACACUUUAUACAUUUUAGAUUAUGUAUGAAUUCAGACUUUUAUCUCAUUUUAUUCCUAGGGUUCAUAAUAGUUUGGAAUUUUGGGACUCCACUGAAAUUUAAGGAAUUAAAGAGCUUUAAAUUAAAACAUUCACACUUUAAAAAGCUAGCUGUAAUUUCCAAAUCUAUAUUUAGAAAGUUGUUCGAGUUCCAACCAUAGUGAGUUAGGAAAUCUCUAAAUUUAAAUUCCAACUCUUUAAAUUAUAGAAUUCAGAUCUUUAAAGAACUGCAUAUUCUUGGUUUAUAUUUUUUGUUGUUUC
This 1594-nucleotide long non-coding RNA is filed under the name Naja naja (Indian cobra). Its description in RNAcentral is "lncRNA (ENSNNAG00000001777.1)". Lineage: Eukaryota; Metazoa; Chordata; Lepidosauria; Squamata; Elapidae. The record is from RNAcentral.